AUACGUAGGGUGCAAGCGUUAAUCGGAAUUACUGGGCGUAAAGCGUGCGCAGGCGGUUUUGUAAGACAGUGGUGAAAUCCCCGGGCUCAACCUGGGAACUGCCCUUGUUACUGCAAGGCUGGAGUGCGGCAGAGGGGGAUGGAAUUCCGCGUGUAGCAGUGAAAUGCGUAGAUAUGCGGAGGAACACCGAUGGCGAAGGCAAUCCCCUGGGCCUGCACUGACGCUCAUGCACGAAAGCGUGGGGAGCAAACAGGAUUAGAUACCCUGGUAGUCCACGCCCUAAACGAUGUCAACUGGUUGUUGGGGAUUUAUUUUCUCAGUAACGAAGCUAACGCGUGAAGUUGACCGCCUGGGGAGUACGGCCGCAGGGUUAAAACUCAAAGGAAUUGACGGGG
This 395-nucleotide ribosomal RNA is filed under the name uncultured bacterium. Its description in RNAcentral is "partial 16S ribosomal RNA". It matches the Rfam family "Bacterial small subunit ribosomal RNA", at positions 523 to 918 of the family's 1533-position model. The record is from RNAcentral.